AUGGGGCGGAACUGGAUGAUUGAGGAUUAUGGUAGUUUUCUUUCUUCUUCUUCUUCUUCUCAUCAUCGUCACAUGUCUUCGUUGUUGUUUUUUCUUCUUCUUCUUGUACUACUUAUUAUACACCUUCAACAUGUCCUUGUUUCUUUCUCUGUCCA
RNAcentral lists this non-coding RNA (155 nucleotides) under Heterosigma akashiwo. Lineage: Eukaryota; Raphidophyceae; Chattonellales; Chattonellaceae. The record is from RNAcentral.